GAUGAACGCUGGCGGCGUGCCUAAUACAUGCAAGUCGAACGAAACUUCUUUAUCACCGAGUGCUUGCACUCACCGAUAAAGAGUUGAGUGGCGAACGGGUGAGUAACACGUGGGCAACCUGCCCCAAAGAGGGGGAUAACACUUGGAAACAGGUGCUAAUACCGCAUAACCAUAGUUACUGCAUGGUAACUAUGUAAAAGGUGGCUAUACUACCGCUUUUGGAUGGGCCCGCGGCGCAUUAGCUAGUUGGUAGGGUAAAGGCUUACCAAGGCAAUGAUGCGUAGCCGAAUUGAGAGGUUGAUCGGCCACAUUGGGACUGAGACACGGCCCAAACUCCUACGGGAGGCAGCAGUAGGGAAUCUUCCACAAUGGGCGAAAGCCUGAUGGAGCAACGCCGCGUGGGUGAAGAAGGUCUUCGGAUCGUAAAACCCUGUUGUUAGAGAAGAAAGUGCGUGAGAGUAACUGUUCACGUUUCGACGGUAUCUAACCAGAAAGCCACGGCUAACUACGUG
RNAcentral lists this ribosomal RNA (512 nucleotides) under uncultured bacterium. RNAcentral's name for it is "partial 16S ribosomal RNA". It matches the Rfam family "Bacterial small subunit ribosomal RNA", at positions 28 to 507 of the family's 1533-position model. The record is from RNAcentral.